Molecule: unclassified non-coding RNA, 154 nt
Filed under: uncultured Sordariales
Lineage: Eukaryota; Fungi; Ascomycota; Sordariomycetes; Sordariales
Description: sequence contains ITS1
Source: RNAcentral
CAGAGUUGCAAAACUCCCAAACCAAUGUGAACAUACCUGAGACGUUGCUUCGGUGGGCGGCUCCAGGGGGAGCCAUCUGCCUUACCGGUGCCCACCGGAGGACCAAAACUCUUCUGUAUUUUAGUGGCCUCUCUGAGAAAAACAUAAUAAGUCA